Molecule: unclassified non-coding RNA, 2501 nt
Filed under: Hevea brasiliensis (rubber tree)
Lineage: Eukaryota; Viridiplantae; Streptophyta; Magnoliopsida; Malpighiales; Euphorbiaceae
Source: RNAcentral
UGGUAUUCUAAAUCUGACCCGUCGCCGGGCCAUAGCCAUUCUAGAUGGAAAACUCGAGUCCAGGAGAUCCAAAACGGUGCGCGUAGGGAUACAUUGGGUCUGCAAGCUUCUCGAUCUUGUGGAUCCUCGAAUUGGAAAAUGGAGAAAGAAAACCCUAAUAAUCGUCUUAAACCUCGGUUUCAUUGUCCAGCUCCCACUUGCAGAGCUCGUUUUCGCGUUAUUCACCUCCUUCUAUCCCUUUCAAUCGAACUAGGAGUGCAAUAGAAAUGGUGUGGUUUCAGUGUGAAGAUUGCGGAGAGAACUUGAAGAAGCCUAAAUUACCUAAUCACUUCAGAAUUUGCUCAGCCAACAAGCUAUCAUGCAUUGAUUGCGGAGAGAUUUUCGGGCAGGAAAGCGUUCAGGGCCACACUCAGUGUGUUACUGAGGCGGAAAAAUAUGGUCCCAAGGGUCAAGGGAAAGCUUCAAAUGGUGCGACUCCUAAACCCAGUAAGAACACAAAGCAACAGCCUGAUAUUGAUAUAAAUGUUGGGUUAUCUGAACGUCCUCCUUGGUUUUGCAGGUGGGUUCAAGUUGUUGUAUGCUUUCUCAUUUCCGUUGUGUAUGCUUGUUCCUUUAUUCAUCAAAUCAUACUCUCUCCAAUGGGAGACAAAGUUUGUGCAUCUCUUACCUUGUUUAUUACAUAUAUGAUAUUAAGUAAAGAAACUAGAAUUUUCAUGCUUGUUUUUCAUGGGCAAAAAUGUUUUGCAAAACGUUAUGGAGUGGGAAUGCAUUCAACAAAUUACAAAUAUGUAUUGCUGUAUAGGCUUUUGUGAGUAGAUUGAGGACUGCUCUAUUGGAAAUGUCUCUCCAUGGUAAAAGAAAUGGGUUGAAUUGAGAAUGGAAGGCAAUCCUGGCUUCUUCCAUGAGGUUUGCAUUGUAUUAUUAAUUCAAUGUUUGUUGUGGAGCUAAUCUAAUGGUAAGAAGUUGAGAAUGAAUAAUGUAAAAAUUUAUCUUAGAAUGACACCCAAGUGACUGAUACAUGUGGAAGUGAGGAGAUAAAUUUUGUGAAGUCACUUGUAGAUGCUUUUAUUUGUCAUAUUUUUUCUUAUGAUUCCUUCCAAGUCAUCAUCCUUUGUAAAAAUGUAUGUAUUUGCAGUCUCUGCAAUACCAAGGCUACUAGUAAGCAGACCUUGCUUCUCCAUGCUGAUGGAAAGAAGCACCGGUCAAAGGCCCGAGCUUUUCAUGCUGCUAAGCGGCAACAAACUAAACAGAUAGAAGAAUCUGCUCAAGAUAAAACUGCCAUUAAUGGAAAUGCUAGAAAUGGUGAAGUGCCUGAUAAUAAUCAUGUUGAGGAACAAAAAGGAAAGGAGAUGCGAAAACGUGACAGACCAAGUGCCAUCUCAGAAACAGAGACUGGAAAGUUGCAAUCGAAAAAGAGAAAACUUGAUGAAUUUGGGAGUGAUGGUACUGUGAUAAUGACUGAUGGUGAUGCUACAGACUAUAUAGGCGAUGGUGUGACCCAAGUUGAUAAGGUGGUGGAAUCUGGCUGUAAGAAAGAUGCCAAAAAGAAGAUGAAGUUGAAGAGAUUGAUCAAAUCAGCCUUGAGAACUGUAUGUAUCUUUGAUGAAUGUCAUGUCUUACUUUUCCUUUCUUUUCUUUUUUGUUUUUGGAGCAUCUUUUACAUUAUAAUUUGGUAUACAGUAGUUGAGGCAUCUUGAUCAAAUACAUAUAUUUUGGAUAUUUUGAUAAACUCAAUGACAUGAACACAGAUAUAACCUUUCUAUUAUAUUGAAUUGGCUUACAUUAACCCAUUUUCCAGUAUCUUCCUUAUCCUGGUUUUUAUAUUUUGUAUGUUAUUGCAUGCAAACACAGAAUCCAGAUGGGGUUUUGAAGAUGAAGAAAUUGAAAAAACUUGUUCUGAAUUCUCUCCGGGAAUCUGGCAUAACAGAUGAUAAGGCUCAACUCAGUGGCGUGCUUGAGCAAAAGGUCAGGCCUUUAAAGAGUUAUAUUAUUUCUUUCUACCUUCAACUUGUUCAAGGUUAAUGACCAAAAAGGCACUAACUUUAUCUAAAUUUUUUUAUCAUACCAUAAUUGUAGCCAAGAUCCAAACUUUUAACUUUUAGGUUAUAACAUGGUUAUUAAAAUAAUAUUUGUUUAAUGAAAUAUUCCUCUGUUAGGCUCAUAGUAUGAGAGUUUAAUAUCAACUCCAUCAGAAUUCAUAUCACAAAAACAGAGUCUCAUUAAAGAAAGAGACUUUCUCGUUGGAUAAAUAUGAUAUAUUAUUUUAAAGUUAAAUUAUUGUCUGAAAUGAAAUUUUUGAUAUAUAAACUCCAUUUGAUGAAAACAAAAAGGAUUAUAUCAGUUGAUAAAUAGUAUAGUUUUGAUAUUUAUGUCAUUGCCUUGGAUGGAAAUUUCAACCUUGGCUAAAAUUGUAUCAUUUGAUAAAUUUUUUUUUUUUUCAUUGGUUUGAAUGGAAAUUUCAACCUUGGCUACAAUUGUAUCAUUUGACAAAAAAAUGUAGU